Molecule: ribosomal RNA, 351 nt
Filed under: uncultured bacterium
Lineage: Bacteria
Description: bacterial SSU rRNA
Rfam family: Bacterial small subunit ribosomal RNA
Source: RNAcentral
GCUCAGGACGAACGCUGGCGGCGUGCCUAACACAUGCAAGUCGAACGGAGAAUUUUAUUUCGGUAGAAUUCUUAGUGGCGAACGGGUGAGUAACGCGUAGGCAACCUGCCCUUUAGACGGGGACAACAUUCCGAAAGGAGUGCUAAUACCGGAUGUGAUCAUCGUGCCGCAUGGCAGGAUGAAGAAAGAUGGCCUCUACAAGUAAGCUAUCGCUAAAGGAUGGGCCUGCGUCUGAUUAGCUAGUUGGUAGUGUAACGGACUACCAAGGCGAUGAUCAGUAGCCGGUCUGAGAGGAUGAACGGCCACAUUGGGACUGAGACACGGCCCAAACUCCUACGGGAGGCAGCAGUA